RNAcentral lists this long non-coding RNA (2175 nucleotides) under Gadus morhua (Atlantic cod). RNAcentral's name for it is "lncRNA (ENSGMOG00000027517.1)". Lineage: Eukaryota; Metazoa; Chordata; Actinopteri; Gadiformes; Gadidae. The record is from RNAcentral.
AUGCUCAUCAUGGGGGCUGUGCUGCUGUUACUAAUUGGUGUGGCUGAUGGUGUGAAGACCUUCUGCAACGCCACACAGCCACACAUCACGACCCAGUGCUUUGGCUCUCUGGGAGGAACCGUGGAGGUCCAGCUGCCUACUCACUCCCCACAUGAGCAUUCCUACACACUGAAGAAGAACAAGGUCCCGAUAGUUGAGGGCGAAAUCAAGAUAACAGACCCCCGAUAUUCAUUAAAUGUCAGUACUGGCGUCUUUACCAUAGAGGACCUCAAGAAGACAGACUAUGAUGCAUAUUCACUGGCAGCACAUAAUGGUGUUGAAAUAGCAACUAAACUUUUAUCCAUUCAGGGUGUGAAGACCUUCUGCAACGCCACACAGCCACACAUCACGACCCAGUGCUUUGGCUCUCUGGGAGGAACCGUGAAGGUCCAGCUGCCUGCUAAGACCUCACAAGAUGAUAUCUACAAACUGAAGAAAGACAAUGUUGUGGUUUUGUCCAAGAGCAGUGAGACAACAAACUUUCGAUAUUCAUUUAAUAUCAGUACUGGAAUAUUUGCUAUAAAGGACAUCGACUGGUCAGACAACGGUACAUACUCUAUGGAACUACACGAUGCAGCUGGAGGGGAAGUAGCAAAUACAAAAUGUAAUUUAACCAUUCAAGGUGUGAAGACCUUCUGCAACGCCACACAGCCACACAUCACGACCCAGUGCAUUGGCUCUCUGGGAGGAACCGUGGAGGUCCAGCUGCCUAAGACCUCACAAGAUGAUGUCUACAGACUGAAGAAAGACAAUUACCGGAUUUUAUCAGACCGCAGUCUGACAACAAACAUUCGAUAUUCUUUUAAUGUCAAUACUGGAAUGUUUGCUAUCAAGGAAUUCAACAGGACAGACAAAGGUACAUACUCGAUGGAAGUUCAUGAUCAGAGUGGAAUGAAAAUAUCAUUCAACCAAUUUCGCUUAACCAUUGAAGGUGUGAAGACCUUCUGCAACGCCACACAGCCACACAUCCCGACCCAGUGCUUUGGCUCUCUGGGAGGAACCGUGGAGGUCCAGCUGCCUACUCACUCCCCACAUGAGCAUUCCUACACACUGAAGAAGAACAAGGUCCCGAUAGUUGAGGGCGAAAUCAAGAUAAAAGACCCCCGAUAUUCAUUCAAUGUCAGUACUGGCGUCUUUACCAUAGAGGACCUCAGGAAGACAGACUAUGAUGCAUAUUCACUUGCAGCACAUAAUGGAGUAGAAAUAGCAACUAAACUUUUAUCCAUUCAGGGUGUGAAGACCAUUUGCAACGCCACACAGUCACACAUCACGACCCAGUGCUUUGGCUCUCUGGGAGGAACCGUUGAGGUCCAGCUGCCUGCUAAGACCUCACAAGACCAUCGCUACGUACUGAAGAAAAACAAAAUUCACAUAGCAGACAACACUCGCAAUUCAUUUAAUAGCAACACCAAAAUAUUCAUGAUAAUGGACAUCAACGGGUUGGACGGGGGUACAUACUCAAUGGAAGUACGGAAUAUGACUGGAACUCGAGUAGCAAAUACCAAUUUUUACUUAUCCAUUCAAGGUGUGAAGACCUUCUGCGACGCCACACAGCCACACAUCACGACCCAGUGCUUUGGCUCUCUGGGAGGAACCGUGGAGGUCCAGCUGCCUAAGUCCUCACAAAGUAGUAUCUACAAACUGAAGAAAAAGGAUGUCCCGAUUUUAUCAGACCGCAGUCCGACAACAAACAUUCGAUAUUCUUUUAAUGUCAGUACUGGAAUGUUUGCUAUAAAGGAAUUCAACAGGACAGACAAGGGUACAUACUGGAUGGAAGUUCAUGAUCAGAAUGGAAAGGAAAUAUCAUUCAACCUAUUUCGCUUAUCCAUUGAAGGUGUGAAGACCUUCUGCAACGCCACACAGACACACAUCACGACCCAGUGCUUUGGCUCUCUGGGAGGAACCGUGAAGGUCCAGCUGCCUAUUAAGACCUCACAACACCAUCGCUACGUACUGAAGAAAAACAAAGUUACAAUACCAGACAACACUCGCCAUUCAUUUAGUAGCGACACCAAAAUAUUUACGAUAACGGACAUUAAUCGGUCAGACAUGGAUACAUACUUCAUGGAAGAACGGAAUGAGAACGGGGUUCCAGUAGCAAAUACCAGUUUUUAUUUAUCCAUUCAUGGUGAGUGA